CCUACGGGAGGCAGCAGUGAGGAAUAUUGGUCAAUGGCCGGAAGGCUGAACCAGCCAAGCCGCGUGAAGGACGAAGGUGCCAAGCAUUGUAAACUUCUUUUGUCAAGGGACAAUAUCAUGCACGAGAGCCUGACCGAGGGUACUUUAAGAAAAAGCAUCGGCUAACUCCGUGCCAGCAGCCGCGGUAAUACGGAGGAUGCGAGCGUUAUCCGGAUUUAUUGGGUUUAAAGGGUGCGUAGGCGGACUGUUAAGUCAGCGGUAAAAGCCCGGGGCUCAACCCCGGCGAGCCGUUGAAACUGGAUGGCUUGAGAUGUGGAGAGGUAUGCGGAAUGCGCAGUGUAGCGGUGAAAUGCAUAGAUAUUGCGCAGAACUCCGAUAGCGAAGGCAGCAUACCGGCGGCGAUCUGACGCUGAGGCACGAGAGCGUGGGUAUCGAACAGGAUUAGAUACCCUAGUAGUC
This 459-nucleotide ribosomal RNA is filed under the name uncultured bacterium. RNAcentral's name for it is "partial 16S ribosomal RNA". It matches the Rfam family "Bacterial small subunit ribosomal RNA", at positions 338 to 795 of the family's 1533-position model. The record is from RNAcentral.